This 107-nucleotide small nuclear RNA is filed under the name Ovis aries (sheep). The record is from RNAcentral. Lineage: Eukaryota; Metazoa; Chordata; Mammalia; Artiodactyla; Bovidae.
GUGCUCGCUUCGGCAGCACAUAUACUAAAAUUGGAACGAUACAGAGAAGAUUAGCAUGGCCCCUGCUCAAGGAUGACAUGCAAAUUCAUGAAGCAUUCCAUAUUUUU